CACGUAGGGGGCAAGCGUUGUUCGGAAUUACUGGGCGUAAAGCGCACGUAGGCGGCUUUGUAAGUUAGAGGUGAAAGCCCGGGGCUCAACUCCGGAAUUGCCUUUAAGACUGCAUCGCUAGAAUUGUGGAGAGGUGAGUGGAAUUCCGAGUGUAGAGGUGAAAUUCGUAGAUAUUCGGAAGAACACCAGUGGCGAAGGCGACUCACUGGACACAUAUUGACGCUGAGGUGCGAAAGCGUGGGGAGCAAACAGG
RNAcentral lists this ribosomal RNA (253 nucleotides) under uncultured bacterium. RNAcentral describes it as "partial 16S ribosomal RNA". It matches the Rfam family "Bacterial small subunit ribosomal RNA", at positions 524 to 776 of the family's 1533-position model. The record is from RNAcentral.